This is a long non-coding RNA of Gorilla gorilla gorilla (western lowland gorilla), 184 nucleotides long. RefSeq lists it as uncharacterized. Lineage: Eukaryota; Metazoa; Chordata; Mammalia; Primates; Hominidae. The record is from RefSeq and is a predicted model, not a curated record. The transcript is spliced from 3 exons.
GCUUGUCUAGAGUCCUGUUUGCAAAGGAUGGCAGCCAAUGGGUUAUGUCUGAUCAUCGAUUCUUCCCACACAGCAGGAAAGGAGGCGAUUAUGACCAGAUCUGGCAACCGAAACCUAAUGAAACUUGAGAUCAACUUGCUGCCACUGAAUAGAACCCUAUGGAGCUGAGGAAAUCACUACUGCC